RNAcentral lists this ribosomal RNA (498 nucleotides) under uncultured bacterium. RNAcentral describes it as "bacterial SSU rRNA". It matches the Rfam family "Bacterial small subunit ribosomal RNA", at positions 30 to 527 of the family's 1533-position model. The record is from RNAcentral.
AUUGAACGCUGGCGGCAUGCCUUACACAUGCAAGUCGAACGGUAACGGGCCUUCGGGUGCCGACGAGUGGCGAACGGGUGAGUAAUGUAUCGGAACGUACCUUUCAGUGGGGGAUAACGUAGCGAAAGUUACGCUAAUACCGCAUAUUCUGUGCGCAGGAAAGCAGGGGAUCGCAAGACCUUGCGCUGAUUGAGCGGCCGAUAUCAGAUUAGCUAGUUGGUGAGGUAAAGGCUCACCAAGGCGACGAUCUGUAGCGGGUCUGAGAGGAUGAUCCGCCACACUGGAACUGAGACACGGUCCAGACUCCUACGGGAGGCAGCAGUGGGGAAUUUUGGACAAUGGGGGCAACCCUGAUCCAGCCAUGCCGCGUGAGUGAAGAAGGCCUUCGGGUUGUAAGCUCUUUCGGCCGGGAAGAAUCGUAUGGUUAAGUACCCUGUGCGGUGACGGUACCGGCAUAAGAAGCACCGGCUAACUACGUGCCAGCAGCCGCGGUAAACG